Molecule: ribosomal RNA, 466 nt
Filed under: uncultured bacterium
Lineage: Bacteria
Description: partial 16S ribosomal RNA
Rfam family: Bacterial small subunit ribosomal RNA
Source: RNAcentral
ACGAACGCUGGCGGCGUGCUUAACACAUGCAAGUCGAACGGAAAGGCCCUGCUUUUGUGGGGUGCUCGAGUGGCGAACGGGUGAGUAACACGUGAGUAACCUGCCCUUGACUUUGGGAUAACUUCAGGAAACUGGGGCUAAUACCGGAUAGGAGCUCCUGCUGCAUGGUGGGGGUUGGAAAGUUUCGGCGGUUGGGGAUGGACUCGCGGCUUAUCAGCUUGUUGGUGGGGUAGUGGCUUACCAAGGCUUUGACGGGUAGCCGGCCUGAGAGGGUGACCGGCCACAUUGGGACUGAGAUACGGCCCAGACUCCUACGGGAGGGAGCAGUGGGGAAUAUUGCACAAUGGGCGGAAGCCUGAUGCAGCAACGCCGCGUGCGGGAGGACGGCCUUCGGGUUGUAAACCGCUUUCGCCUGUGACGAAGCGUGAGUGACGGUAAUGGGUAAAGAAGCACCGGCUAACUACGU